This is a long non-coding RNA of Stegostoma tigrinum, 1656 nucleotides long. RefSeq lists it as uncharacterized. The transcript has 3 exons. The record is from RefSeq and is a predicted model, not a curated record. NCBI's taxonomy places the organism in Eukaryota, Metazoa, Chordata, Chondrichthyes, Orectolobiformes, Stegostomatidae.
GCUAGCGGCAGCUGAAUCCAAGGUAACUUCAAAUAAAAUACAAUAAACAAAUCACCAAAAAGUUUAUAAGGAGAACCCACCACUUUCCCGCAAGUGUGAAAUCCAAACCAUAAAGAUGUUGAAAAUUCAUACCAGGCUAUUUCGUGUGCUGUCCUGUAAAAUAACAGAGAAGAACAACGGCAAGCAUUCACUAAAACCAAAAGAUGAAAUUAUAAAUUUAAGAGGGAUUAUCCUGCCAUGAUCAAGUGGAACACCUGCUUUGUAUGCCUGACAGCAGACUGUCAAAGAAGAUCAUUCACCCAGCAAAGCUGCAUUAAAGUGAUCAGCACCUUGAUGCUGGGCAUGAUGCUCAGGAGAGGAUGCUGCUGUUUGACCGCCUUUAUUAGCACUGGAUUUAAAGCAUCUUACAAAGGCACUGCUGGUAGUACUUGUCCAAUACUUAUCAGAGCCUCCUGCAGUGCCACAAGGAUGCCACCCGAAAGUUGCAGGAACAGCAACUCAUAUUCGCUUGGGAACCCUGCAGCCCAAUGGUAUCAAUGUGGACUUCACCAGCUUCAAAAUCUCCCCUUCCCCCAUCGCAUCCCAAAACCAGCCCAGUUCGUCCCCUCCCCCACACUGCAUCACACAACCAGCCCAGCUCAUCCCCUCCCCUCCCCCCACUGCAUCCCAAAACCAGCCCAGCCUGUCUCUGCCUCCCUAACCUGUUCUUCCUCUCACCUAUCCCUUCCUCCCACCUCAAACCGCACCUCCAUUUCCUACCUACUAACCUCAUCCCACCUCCUUGACCUGUCCGUCUUAUCCCCUCCAUACCUCCCCACCUAUACUCUCCUCUCCACCUAUCUUCUUUUCUCUCCAUCUUCGGUCCGUCUCCCCAUCUCUCCCUAUUUAUUCCAGAACCCUCUCCCCAUCCCCCUCUCUGAAGAAGGGUCUAGGCCCGAAACGUCAGGUUUAGUGCUCCCGAGAUGCUGCUUCGCCUGCUGUGUUCAUCCAGCUCCACACUUAUCAGAGCCUGCUGUAGGACUCUGAAGCAUGCUGGAAUAUGGGGACCACAGCUGCUCAGUAAACUAGUCCCUUAGUUUUAGGUGUGAGAUCUUGGCCCUCACCUCAAAUUGGUGUAGUUUGUUAUGCAACAUUAGGAAUGCUGAUGAUGAAUUUUGUUGUCCAUGUCUGUCCUUUCCAAGAGAAGGAUCCCAGGUUUUGGAACAUAUUCUGUAUUUUCCAGGAUAUUGUUGGUGAUCUUAAUAAAUGAGAGGUGGUUUUGUACAUUGGGAUCUUAUUAAAAGAAGGCUUAUUUUCUCAGAUCCAGGGUAAGAGUCAACAAUGACCUUUAAGCUCAAUUUGAGAAAGCACACACACAUCUUCAUUAAGAUCGGGUUUGUGGUGGUUCUGAUGGUGGGGAUUGUGGCUUGCAAGUCAUCAUGGAGUAGAUGGAGGAUGUCAGCAAAUAUUUUGGGCAGUAGAGUUUCCACACAACAAACUUGGAGUUUGCGCUUGGUCCCCUUUCUCCCACAAUCCUUUCUCAAUUUUUAGUCUAUGAUUAUAUUUUCUCUCUUUUCAAAAUCAUAUAAUCUAUGUUUGCGUGUAUUUUAGAAAAAAAAAUCUGCAUAUUUUCAGAUGCAGUUGUGUGUCAGUUUGUUACAUCAUAAAAGUGUAGAG